RNAcentral lists this ribosomal RNA (429 nucleotides) under Chloroflexota bacterium. Its description in RNAcentral is "Chloroflexi bacterium partial 16S ribosomal RNA". It matches the Rfam family "Bacterial small subunit ribosomal RNA", at positions 355 to 776 of the family's 1533-position model. The record is from RNAcentral. Lineage: Bacteria; Bacillati; Chloroflexota.
UGGGGAAUAUUGCGCAAUGGGCGCAAGCCUGAUGCAGCCAUGCCGCGUGUAUGAAGAAGGCCUUCGGGUUGUAAAGUACUUUCAGCGGGGAGGAAGGGAGUAAAGUUAAUACCUUUGCUCAUUGACGUUACCCGCAGAAGAAGCACCGGCUAACUCCGUGCCAGCAGCCGCGGUAAUACGGAGGGUGCAAGCGUUAAUCGGAAUUACUGGGCGUAAAGCGCACGCAGGCGGUCUGUCAAGUCGGAUGUGAAAUCCCCGGGCUCAACCUGGGAACUGCAUUCGAAACUGGCAGGCUAGAGUCUUGUAGAGGGGGGUAGAAUUCCAGGUGUAGCGGUGAAAUGCGUAGAGAUCUGGAGGAAUACCGGUGGCGAAGGCGGCCCCCUGGACAAAGACUGACGCUCAGGUGCGAAAGCGUGGGGAGCAAACAGG